UACUGUUUGUUACAACUCCGCUUAUUGUGUGAAUUUGACUCAAUUGGAUGAACCACUGAAGAUACUGAGAGCUGCCCCGAGCAACUAGCACUUCUACAUAGACGAACCCCUGCUAUCCAGAAGGGCCAACCUUGGAUGUAUUGAAUUGGCUGGAGAACAGGGCCUUGCCCCGUUUGUUACAAAUUACUGUGUUGUUAUUCUUGUAAAAGCAUCUGGCAACUGCUCACAAAAGCCGAGUACAUCCCCGCCCAUGAGAUGAAAUGAGAGCUGGAUCCAAUGCUGAAACCUUGCCAUCAGCUUCAAGAAUUAGCCCAAAUGAAACAAGAGCUACGAUAUAAAUAAAAACUAGCUUACGAUGAAUGCAGAUAAUACAGACGAUAUCAACUCUAACAAGGCAGCAAUCAUUUAGAGAAAACAGAGAAAGUGCGAAGCUGAUUCCUCAACGGCGGACAACUGAUUAUAUGCAGAGCUUCAAUUACCGGUUUGAAUCGCUCGCCACUCUUCUACAGCUUGGUGAAUAAUUUGAGCUUUAUUUCAUCUUUCCGCUGCCAUGGGAUGCUCUUGUCACUCUUGCGCUCAGAUUCAAUUUUCCUCUCAUUGUCACAGCCAAUUCAAUCUUGACAUAUCCUGUCAGAAUGGUGGCACUUCUACAAACAGAGCAUUCCAGUUGGUCAAUCGAGUGCCUUGAUCUACACACAAGAGCCUCAAAUGUGUCCGCGACCGUACAACCACUAACCAUAGACCCAAAGUCUAUACGCAGUGUUUUCGCA
This 770-nucleotide small RNA is filed under the name Histoplasma capsulatum var. duboisii H88. RNAcentral's name for it is "Histoplasma capsulatum H88 hypothetical RNA". Lineage: Eukaryota; Fungi; Ascomycota; Eurotiomycetes; Onygenales; Ajellomycetaceae. The record is from RNAcentral.